This 4273-nucleotide long non-coding RNA is filed under the name Sus scrofa (pig). RNAcentral describes it as "lncRNA (ENSSSCG00040019051.1)". The record is from RNAcentral. Lineage: Eukaryota; Metazoa; Chordata; Mammalia; Artiodactyla; Suidae.
GGACAAGACGGCUGGAGCUAGCGGCAGCGACGGCAAAGCCCUGGCUCCCAGGACUGAGAUCAUAGAAAUGAAUGAUGAAUUAAGAAGCAGGCAAGAAAUUGUGAAUGAAUUGAACAUACUUUUGGAAGAAAAUGAGACUUAAUAUGAGAAUUAAGAAGUUUGGUACAAUUACAAAUGAAGAAUUCAGAAAAUCACCAGGAAACUCUUGAAGGAGAAAGAAACCCUGGCUAUAAAUUAUGAGAAGAAAGAAUUUCUCACUAAUGGACUUUCCAGAAAAAUGGUUAUAUUCAUAGCAUGAGAAAGCCAAACUAGAACAGCAUCUUGAAGAGGAGCAGGAAUUCCAGGUCAACAAACUAAUGAAGAAAACUUAAAAACUGGAGAAUGUUAACCAUUUCUAAACAGCUUACAUUACAUUAAGUUUGUUGGGGGGAUUAAUCUUCUGUCUGCCUGCUUUCAUACUCUGUGCGUAUUAAGAUUCUUUCAUCCCUCUGAUGCCAAGUCACUCAAGUAUGGACUGCACAGAAGAAAUAAGUUUACAUGGUAACCCAGUACGCUGAUGUUUUUGUAACUGUAUGACUGCAACAAGUUUCAUGAAACAAUGCUAAAAACAGACAAAACCACGCACUCUGGGACCAGGAGUGAGAGGAGGUAUCUGAGGGAACUGUUUAGAUGAUGAGAAUGCUCUGUAUCUUCAUUGUGGUAGUAGUUAUGCAGUUAUAUAUCUUUUUCAAAACUCAUCAAAUUAGGGGACUCCAUCCCACAUUUUAUAUGGACACUCAGGUAGCCCAAUAGUGAGGUUAGGAAGUAAGGCCCGUCGCCAAUAGCCAGCAAGUAACUGAGGACUUCUGCCAAGAGCCAAGUGAGUGAGCUAUCUUAAAAGUAAAUCCAGGAGUUUCUGUCAUGGCUCAGUGGUUAACGAAUCCGACUAGGAACCAUGAGGUUGUGGAUUCGAUCCCUGGCCUCUCUCAGUGGGUUGAGGAUCUGGCAUUGCCAUGAGCUGUGGUGUAUGUCGCAGAAGUGGCUCGGAUCUGGCGUUGCUGUGGCUCUGGCAUAGGCUGGUGGCUACAGCUCCGAUUGGACCCCUAGCCUGUGAACCUCCACAUGCUGUAGGUGCAGCACUAGAAAAGACAGAAAACCCAAAAAAAAAAAAAAAAAAAAGUAAAUCCUCCAGCCCCACUCAACCCUUCAGAUUAUUCUAGACCUAGGAUGACAAUUUAAUUGGAACUUGUAAGAGAUUUGGAGCCAACUAAACCACUCUCAAAUUCCUAUUCAUAGACAUCAAUAAUAAAUCUCUGUUCUCUGAAGCCAAAAAAAUUAAAAAAACACAAACCAUACACUUCAUAUGGAUGUGUUUUGUUUUAUUUAAGUUACACCUCAAUAAGUAAAUUUUUUAAAUUGUUUGAGGGUCUUCAACUAAUGCAAUGUCAACGUGAAAUGACAUUGAAAAUUAUAGGAGUUCCUGUCUUGGCAGUGGUUAACAAAUCCGACUAGGAACCAUGAGGCUGAGGGUUUGAUCCCUGGCCUUGCUUAGUGGGUUAUGGAUCCGGCGUUGCCGUGAGCUGUGGUGUAGGUUGCAGACGUGGCUCGGAUCCCGCGUUGCUGUGGCUCUGGCGCACGCUGGUGGCUGCGGCUCCGAUCAGACCCUAGCCUGGGAACCUCCAUAUGCUGUGGGAGCAGCCCUAAAAAAAAAAAAAAAAAAAAGUGAAGAUUAUAUAUCAGUAUCCAAAUAUGUUUUCACUGUUUUAAGUACUUCCCUAGAGUCCUUUACACUGUAGGUAGGGCCAUUAGUAAUCUGCACCCCUUUCACGAGGAGACUGUUUAUUCUGAAGUUAUACCUGAGCAAUAUAUAUUUAGGGUACACAUUAGGUGACAACCAUUCUAAGAAUAUGUCUGAUUGCCCGGUAGAAGAGUCGGGAUUUCUAAACCCUUUGCUUUGGGUGGGACCAAGAUUUAAAUAUGCUGUAGUUACUACCUUCCACUUUCCAAAAUAGAGAUGAAGGCAGUACAAUGAUAUAAUGUAAUAAGUUUGGACUCAAUUAUCAGGAAGCCUAGGGUUUAGUCUCCACUUAGGCAUUAACUCACAAAAUGAUCAUGAAGAAAUUAGUCAGACUUCUCUGGAUCCCAGUUUCCUCCUUUAUAAAAAUGAAGUUACUGGACUAGAAGGUCCUAUAAUUUUUAAAAUUUAUGAUUCUAUGAACUGGGAAACUUAAAGGAUGAUGAGACAAUAUGUAGCUUUAGAAAGAUGCUGAUUUUAUAUGAUGGUUUUAGGUGCCAUGAAUCUUCAAAGAUAGUUCAGAGUGAUGCUUUUGUAAAUAUCUGAAUUUUAAAAGAAGCAUUUAAAAGAGAUACUGAUAUAGCAACCUGAAGCAUUAUAGCACUGUGGCACAAAAAAAGUAAAAUGUAUUUUAAGAUAAUUAUCUUGAACAUCCUGUUUCUUUUUUUAGCUACUAAAAUCUUUUCAAUUCCAAAAUUCUGUAAUAAUCUGAAUUUCUCUCUCUUAUUACUAGAUUUUUAGUCAUGGGAAAUGGGUGCGUAUACCCUCCCAUUGUCAGGUAGUUAUUUCUUUCUUAAAUCCUCAAAUAAGGAAUUUUAAAUGAAUGCUUUUAAGCUUUUGCAGAGGUUUUCAUUUCUAGGUCUUGCAUAUCAUACCAGAAAGCUAGUUUGCUCUGUAAGUUAAUUACAUAAGUGUAGUAAUCAUUGAUCAGCACACAUAAACAUUAAAGUACAGUUCAUUAAUUUUCUAACUGUGCUUUCUUAUAUUGACAUUAGCCAUUCCUAGUGCAGAUUUUAUGUCAUUUAUACCUAAAAUCAAAUCUCAACUUUGUCACUUAUCAGCUAUAUACGAGUUACUCAAACUUUCUGAAUCUGGUUUCUUUCUUUUUAAAAAAAAAAUGAAUGAUAAUGCCUAUCUCAUGAAAUUGCUGAUUGAUUAAGGAUUAAGUUAGCAAGCAUAACAAAAGCACUAGGAUUAAGAAAAUUUUUCUUUUAUUCCCCAAAGUUAGCAAAUAUAACAAUGCAUUGGUUGAAUUUUUGUUUUGCCACAUACAAUGAACUAGUAACAGAUAAAAAGAUUAUCCCUUAAGUUCUCUUCAACCCAUCUGCAUAUGCUUUGGCUUGAUGUAUGACUAUUUUUGUAUAUUUUGCACUUCGCUGCCUCUGACAUUUUUAAACAUAGAUUGUUAAGUAUUCAAGUAUUUUUAUAAGUAUACAAUUUUUUAAACUAUUUUACUAGUGCUUAAAUCAUUUCAGUUUAACAUUACUUAGAGUUUAAAAGUAUAAAAUAUUUUAUGAAAAUGUGUUGUGGAACUUUGCAGCCAGACAGUAGUAGUUUUGAAUCCUCAAACUAGAUAUGUGAAUUUGGGUUACUUGUAUAAUCCCUGAGCCUAAAUUCCCCAAGAAAUUAAAUGGUGAUAAUGAUUAAGCACUUAGCUUGGUACCUGGAACAUAUUAAGCACUCAAGAAAUGUUAUUUAUAAAACAUCAUUAUCAUUACUAAAUGACAAUUAUAGAUUUAACUUUAUGCGGGUUAAUUUAGCUGACCAUUGGUGAUUUCUGAUUCUAACUAGAGUUUCAACUUUGUGUGAAUAAUGAAUAUGUUACUAUUACUCAAAAAUGCAUACUUUGUUGGUGGUGGACUAUCUUUAUUAAACAUGGAAAUUUGAAACAAUGUUUAUUUUGCUGAGAUUCUUGAUUAGGAAAUUUACUAAAUCAUCACUGGUAAUUGGUAAAAUGCUGUCACGAAUUUUAAUUCUAAUUUUUUAUUCAGUAAAAUGUAUCAUUUUUUUUCUUUUUGGUAUACUUUCAGUGUUAGGCUUAGAAAGAAUUUCUUCACCCCAGUAUUAUGUAUUUGUUUAUAUUUUUGCUAGUUCUUUUAUGGUUUUAUUUCUACAUUUAAUUCUUUAAUCUGUUAGUAAAUGUUUUAGGUACUUUGAAAGCCAGAUCUUCCAAGUUGGCACAUAUAUCUGUAGGUAAACUGAAUGACUGUUACCUACAUUUCACUGUCCUUAAAUAUUUCCCUAAUAACCCUUCCAAGACCUAAAAGUCAAAUGUUAUAGAAUCAUCUUAUCUUAGUCUUUCAGUUAUUAUUAUUAUUAUUGUCUUUUGUCAUUUUCUAGGGCCACACCCACAGCACAUGGAGAUUCCCAGGCUAGGGGUCGAAUCAGAGCUGUAGCUGCCUGCCUAUACCACAGCCACAGCAACACAAGAUCCAAUUACACCACAGCUCACGGCAACACUGGGUCCUUAACCCACUAAGCAAGGCCAGGGAUCAAACC